CAGUUUCCUGAGUGUCUCAAGUAGUUUAUUCUUGGGGUUCUUUAAAAAAAAAUGCCUAUGAGAAGCCUUGUUUAGCAGACUUCCAGUUAGCCAUGACGGAUACAGUAAAUGACGCCCUGGAAGAAAUGAUCACCAGUCAUUUUUUUAGCAGGAAGCAUUAUUUAAGAGACAAGCCGAGGGCUGGAGAGACAGCUCAGUGGUUAAGAACACUGACUGCUCUUCCAGAAGAUCCGAGUUCAUUUCUCAGCAACCUCAUGGUGCUUCAUAGCUACCUCUGACUCCAGUUGCAGGGGGGUCUGACAAUCUCACACAGACAUAUAUGCAGGUAAUAGUGAUGCAUGUAAAACAAAAAUACAUUAUAAGAGAGAGAGAGAUCCAGCUAUAGGAGAGACAAAGACAGACUGCUUCUUCAAGGCUAACCUAAUCCAUAUAGAGAGUUCUAGACAAGCAAAGGUUACUUUCUUAAUGAGACUCUGGCUC
Molecule: long non-coding RNA, 480 nt
Filed under: Rattus norvegicus (Norway rat)
Lineage: Eukaryota; Metazoa; Chordata; Mammalia; Rodentia; Muridae
Description: long non-coding RNA NONRATT013122
Source: RNAcentral